This 359-nucleotide ribosomal RNA is filed under the name uncultured bacterium. RNAcentral describes it as "bacterial SSU rRNA". It matches the Rfam family "Bacterial small subunit ribosomal RNA", at positions 29 to 414 of the family's 1533-position model. The record is from RNAcentral.
AACGAACGCUGGCGGCAGGCCUCAAACAUGCAAGUCUAGGGGGUGCAGCAAUGCAUCACCGGCGGACGGGUGCGUAACGCGUGGGAAUAUACCUAUUGGUUCGGAACAACUGCGGGAAACUGCAGCUAAUACCGAAUGUGCCCUAACGGGGAAAGAUUUAUCGCCAAUGGAUUAGCCCGCGUAGGAUUAGCUAGUUGGNGGGGUAAUGGCUCACCAAGGCUCCGAUCCUAGCUGUUCUGAGAGGAAGAUCAGCCACACUGGGACUGAGACACGGCCCAGACUCCUACGGGAGGCAGCAGUUGGGAAUCUUGGACAAUGGGGGAAACCCUGAUCCAGCCAUGCCGCGUGAGUGAUGAAGG